This is a small nucleolar RNA of 197 nucleotides. It matches the Rfam family "Small nucleolar RNA snR8".
CUUUUCUUUGAUACGAACGCGUUCUAUUCACUGCAUCAUUAUUGUAAUUUGUUUGAUGAAUGGAGGGGAAAAGAACGCCAGAGCAAUUUUAUUGUCGAACACGACCUCAUACCCAGUAAUGUCUAUUCAAAUUAGUCCUUUUUGGAACUUUUUUGAAACUACCGCAUUUUUUUGGUAACUGCGUUUUCGAUAUAUUC